CCCUUGGGUCGUAAAGCUCUGUCAUUGGGGACGAACGGUCAGAUCAGGAAAUGGGUUUGAAGUGACGGUACCCAAGAAGGAAGCCACGGCUAACUACGUGC
RNAcentral lists this ribosomal RNA (101 nucleotides) under uncultured bacterium. Its description in RNAcentral is "partial 16S ribosomal RNA". The record is from RNAcentral.